UCCGUAGGCGGCGCGUUAGGUGGGGUGUGAAAUCCCUCGGCCCAACCGAGGAAUUGCGCUCCAAACCGGCGUGCUUGAGGAAGGUAGAGGUGAGCGGAACUGAUGGUGGAGCGGUGAAAUGCGUUGAUAUCAUCAGGAACACCGGAGGCGAAGGCGGCUCACUGGGCCUUUUCUGACGCUGAGGGACGAAAGCUAGGGUAGCGAACG
This 207-nucleotide ribosomal RNA is filed under the name uncultured Planctomycetaceae bacterium. Its description in RNAcentral is "partial 16S ribosomal RNA". It matches the Rfam family "Bacterial small subunit ribosomal RNA", at positions 568 to 774 of the family's 1533-position model. The record is from RNAcentral. Lineage: Bacteria; Pseudomonadati; Planctomycetota; Planctomycetia; Planctomycetales; Planctomycetaceae.